Molecule: transfer RNA, 69 nt
Filed under: Ara ararauna (blue-and-yellow macaw)
Lineage: Eukaryota; Metazoa; Chordata; Aves; Psittaciformes; Psittacidae
Description: tRNA-Glu
Rfam family: tRNA
About the family: Transfer RNA (tRNA) molecules are approximately 80 nucleotides in length.
Source: RNAcentral
GUUCUUGUAGUUGAGGAAACAACGAUGGUUUUUCAGGCCAUAAGUCUUGGUUAAGCCCAAGUGAGAACG